UAAGACGGAGGGCGCAAGCGUUGUUCGGAAUUACUGGGCGUAGAGGGCGGGCAGGCGGUCCGUUAAGUCUUCUGUGAAAAUCCGGGGCUCAACCCCGUGAAAUGCAGGAGAUACUGGCGGACUAGAGACCGGUAGAGGCUAGCGGAAUUCCUGGUGUAGCGGUGGAAUGCGUAGAUAUCAGGAAGAACACCUGUGGCGAAGGCGGCUAGCUGGGCCGGAUCUGACGCUCAUCCGCGAAAGCGUGGGGAGCAAACAGGAUUAGGUACCCUGGUAGUCCACGCCGUAAACGAUGGGCACUAGGUACUGGGUCUAUAGACGGAUUCAGUGCCGCAGCUAACGCAUUAAGUGCCCCGCCUGGGGAGUACGGUCGCAAGGCUG
RNAcentral lists this ribosomal RNA (378 nucleotides) under uncultured Gemmatimonadota bacterium. Its description in RNAcentral is "bacterial SSU rRNA". It matches the Rfam family "Bacterial small subunit ribosomal RNA", at positions 521 to 896 of the family's 1533-position model. The record is from RNAcentral. Lineage: Bacteria; Pseudomonadati; Gemmatimonadota.